GGAGGGAUGGCAGAGCGGUUGAAUGCACCGGUCUUGAAAACCGGCGAGGGUUAGCGCCCUCCCAGGGUUCGAAUCCCUGUCCCUCCG
Molecule: transfer RNA, 87 nt
Filed under: Aidingimonas halophila
Lineage: Bacteria; Pseudomonadati; Pseudomonadota; Gammaproteobacteria; Oceanospirillales; Halomonadaceae
Description: Modicisalibacter sp. YIM 90637 tRNA
Rfam family: tRNA
About the family: Transfer RNA (tRNA) molecules are approximately 80 nucleotides in length. Their secondary structure includes four short double-helical elements and three loops (D, anti-codon, and T loops). Further hydrogen bonds mediate the characteristic L-shaped molecular structure. tRNAs have two regions of fundamental functional importance: the anti-codon, which is responsible for specific mRNA codon recognition, and the 3' end, to which the tRNAs corresponding amino acid is attached (by aminoacyl-tRNA synthetases). tRNAs cope with the degeneracy of the genetic code in two manners: having more than one tRNA (with a specific anti-codon) for a particular amino acid; and 'wobble' base-pairing, i.e. permitting non-standard base-pairing at the 3rd anti-codon position.
Source: Rfam by way of RNAcentral